RNAcentral lists this long non-coding RNA (1062 nucleotides) under Anas platyrhynchos platyrhynchos (common mallard). RNAcentral's name for it is "lncRNA (ENSAPLG00000027281.1)". Lineage: Eukaryota; Metazoa; Chordata; Aves; Anseriformes; Anatidae. The record is from RNAcentral.
ACAAGGUUGUUGCCUAACUCUAAUUCUUAGUCUUCUUUAAAGGUAACUAUUUGAUAUAUAUCACCAUUAAUAAAUGAAAGGAAUUCCAUUCAGAACCACAAAGGACAUUGUAAUUAACAACAUGAUGGUAGGUAAGAAAAUAGGCAGCAAACUAGAGAAGUAAUUGACCACAUAGGGACUGUCUCUUAAAUCAUUUAAAAACAGAAAUAUUUCAGGUGCAUAGCAUUAAUUUAAUUUAGAUGUAAUAUGAUUGCAGCUGAGGCUGAUUAUUCUUGAACUGAGGGAAUAGUCUGUGGUUUUACAGUUACUGUAAAAAUCUACAGCUCUUAAUUCUAUGAAUACAUUUUUCAUAAACUGACAUGGUUUACCAUUUAAUUACUUUCACAUCAGAUUUAAAUUAAAUAUAUAUUUGAGAGCACGAAGUGGAUGUUGUGGGAAAUGUGGAAAACUCUGCUCCCAUACAAAAGACUCUUUUGACAGACUUCUAACUCCAGUAGAAAAACUUGUUAGUACACCUUAAAUCGAGUACUUGGGAAGUGUGAAGACAGCAAGAGGUUCAGCUAACUAACCAGCUCCCUGUUGGACAUGUGAAGAAAUGUUCCUGCUUCACUGUGAAAAAAAAGAAAACAACAAAGCACAAAUAUUCUUACUGCAGCUGUUCUUCCUAUUUGAAAUGGCAACACUUGCAAUGGAGGAAAUUGAACUUCAGCUAGAUGGGAUUUGGAGAAGAUGAAGGUUACCUACAACUGUUUCAGUGAGACACAUCACCACAAGCAUUAUUAGAAAUAUGCUUAAUUACAUUAGUUUUAGGUAAAGAUGAUCUGUCUAAAGAUGAUCACUGAGAAUGUAAACACAGGAAAUGUCUGAUCCAAAGCAAAUGCAAUGAAGUCUUUCAGUUUGUUGAAAUGUCUAGAUUUUUUUGGAUUUCUGAAUUACAGUAUGUUAAUUACAAAGUCGUUAUAGAGGUUUUGCUUUAUUACAAAAUCUGUGAUUCUUGAAGUUUUUAAGCAUACUCCUUCUGUUAUGAUAAAUACUCAAUAAAAUUAAGUUCUGCCAUAGACA